RNAcentral lists this non-coding RNA (97 nucleotides) under Oleiagrimonas soli. RNAcentral's name for it is "Glycine riboswitch aptamer". It matches the Rfam family "Glycine riboswitch aptamer". From Rfam's summary of the family: This family represents the bacterial glycine riboswitch. Glycine riboswitches usually consist of two metabolite-binding aptamers domains with similar structures in tandem. Lineage: Bacteria; Pseudomonadati; Pseudomonadota; Gammaproteobacteria; Lysobacterales; Rhodanobacteraceae. The record is from Rfam by way of RNAcentral. RNAcentral also lists the same sequence under 1 other name.
CGCGAACACUCUGGAGAGACCGGUUCGAUCCGGCGCCGAAGGGGCACGAAGCGCACCGCGCUUUCAAACUCUCAGGCAAAAGGACAGAGGGGCGCGC